RNAcentral lists this ribosomal RNA (253 nucleotides) under uncultured bacterium. Its description in RNAcentral is "partial 16S ribosomal RNA". It matches the Rfam family "Bacterial small subunit ribosomal RNA", at positions 524 to 776 of the family's 1533-position model. The record is from RNAcentral.
UACGGGGGGGGCAAGCGUUGUUCGGAAUUACUGGGCGUAAAGGGCUCGUAGGUGGCCAACUAAGUCAGACGUGAAAUCCCUCGGCUUAACCGGGGAACUGCGUCUGAUACUGGAUGGCUUGAGUUUGGGAGAGGGAUGCGGAAUUCCAGGUGUAGCGGUGAAAUGCGUAGAUAUCUGGAGGAACACCGGUGGCGAAGGCGGCAUCCUGGACCAACACUGACACUGAGGACCGAAAGCGUGGGGAGCAAACAGG